Leopardus geoffroyi (Geoffroy's cat) is the source of this 1628-nucleotide long non-coding RNA. RefSeq lists it as uncharacterized. The transcript has 4 exons. NCBI's taxonomy places the organism in Eukaryota, Metazoa, Chordata, Mammalia, Carnivora, Felidae. The record is from RefSeq and is a predicted model, not a curated record.
UCCCCAUAUUGGGUGCAGAGAUUACUUAAAAAUAAAAUCUUAAAAAAAAAAAUAUCAACAGAUGUUCAACAGAUGCGGGCCAAUCAGAAAGGAUUCUCCACUAUUCAGAGCUGAUGACACUUAUAAACCAAUGAUAAUACCAUAGUGAAACUUGCCAGUGAGUGUUAGCUCUGUCUAUGAGAUGUCCAAGUGGAGACAUGUGAUUCUGGAGUUCAGGAGAGGAUCAGGGCUGGUGAUGAGUGGUUUAAGACCAUGGGAUUAUGGGAGGUGACAGGGAGGGGAAAGUGGGUGACGGACAUUGAGGAGGGCACCUGUCGGGAUGAGCACUGAGUGUUGUAUGGAAACCAAUUUGACAGUAAAUUUCAUAUUAAAAAAAAAAAAAAAGACCAUGGGAUUGAUGAGAUCAUCAACUGAGUGGGUGUAGAGAUAUACAAAUGAAAAGGUCAAGCACUGAGAAAAAUAGUCUGCAAAGGUGAGAAGUGACCAUUGAGGUAGAGGAAAACCAAGUAGGGGUGGUGUCCUAGGAGCCAAAGGGAGAAUGUAUUUCACGGAGAGAGCAAUCUAUGGUGACAAGUGCUGUUGCAGGGUUAAGAAAAUCACCGAAGACCCAUCGUUGGAUUGGAAACGUGGAGGUCAUUGGCUUUGACCAGGAUGGUUUUAGUGGAGUCGCUGGGAUAGAAGCCUGCUUGGAAUGUGAUCAAGAGAUGACCAGAGCUGGAAAGUCUGCUUAACUCUUUGAAGACGAUGAGAGAAAUGACGGUGUUUGCUUACUGAUGGAAACGAUCUGGCAUAGAAGGCAUCGAUAAGAAGCUACUGCAGAGCAAAUCUUUGAGCAGGUGGAAGGAAAUUGAAUGGAGUGCAGAAUAGAACAUAGACAGUUGCAGAAUUGGAGUGGAAGAACAUGCCCUAUUGCCAUUGCCAUCACCCUUCUUCCACAAAAGGCUAAAGAUGGGUGAAGACUGUAGAUUGACUGAAAAGUACUUCGACUCUCCAUUGAAUGCUUGCGCUCAGACGAUCUACCUGAGGGCUUGUGUCCUGCUUUCUUCAAUGAGGUGAAUGUGAGGACACAAUAGAUUAUAUUCAAAUGGCAGUCAUGGAGGAAACUUCCCUUUCCUUCCUCAUCCACCAAGCUGAUCGAUGGGCGCUAAAGCCCCGGGGAAGCAGCAUCUGUUGUAACUCAAGGAUCCCUGCUCGAGCUGAGUAUGAAAUUAACAGACACAGAGCAGUUAGCAGCUCAACAUUUGUUCAAGUCUGGCACAUGCACACAUCAUUAGCAACUAUAUUUGAGGAGCAAGAUCAAGGAGGUGAGGAAGAGGGUGUGUCUGAUUAAAGGGAUAUUCAGGGAAGAGGAAAUUCAGAGCAUUUAGGUAAAGCUUCAUGGCUAAAAUAAAUGAACUGGAGAGCAGAGCAAACAGCCAGGGACAUGGGAUAAUUUUGCCUGUGCAACUUCCCAAACAAAGUCAUUUCACGCAGUGGAUCCCCCAGAGUGGCUGGCUGCCUCUUUUACUUCAGCUCCAUGGGCUGUCUCUCCAUUAAAAUUCGAGGGCAAAGAUUUUGCUGUCCUGUUCGCUGCUGUAAUCUGGGCUCUUAGUAGAUAAAAUUAAAUAUUCAUGGAAUAAGUUAACGUA